CCUACGGGUGGCAGCAGUGAGGAAUAUUGGUCAAUGGACGAGAGUCUGAACCAGCCAAGUAGCGUGAAGGAUGACUGCCCUCUGGGUUGUAAACUUCUUUUAUAUGGGAAUAAAAUGUUCCACGUGUGGGCUUUUGUAUGUGCCCUAUGAAUAAGGGUCGGCUAACACCGUGCCAGCAGCCGCGGUAAUACGGAGGAUCCGAGCGUUAUCCGGAUUUAUUGGGUUUAAAGGGAGCGUAGGUGGAUUUUUAUGUCAGUUGUGAAAGUUUGCGGCUCAACCGUAAAAUUGCAGUUGAAACUGGCAGUCUUGAGUACAGUAGGGGAGGGCGGAAUUCGUGGUGUAGCGGUGAAAUGCUUAGAUAUCACGAAGAACUCCGAUUGCGAAGGCAGCUCACUGGACUGCAACUGACACUGAGGCUCGAAAGUGUGGGUAUCAAACAGGAUUAGAUACCCUUGUAGUC
RNAcentral lists this ribosomal RNA (460 nucleotides) under uncultured bacterium. RNAcentral describes it as "partial 16S ribosomal RNA". It matches the Rfam family "Bacterial small subunit ribosomal RNA", at positions 338 to 795 of the family's 1533-position model. The record is from RNAcentral.